This 253-nucleotide ribosomal RNA is filed under the name uncultured bacterium. RNAcentral's name for it is "partial 16S ribosomal RNA". It matches the Rfam family "Bacterial small subunit ribosomal RNA", at positions 524 to 776 of the family's 1533-position model. The record is from RNAcentral.
UACGUAGGGGGCAAGCGUUGUCCGGAAUCAUUGGGCGUAAAGCGCGUGUAGGCGGUUCGAUCAGUCUGCUGUGAAAGUCCAGGGCUCAACCCUGGGAUGCCGGUGGAUACUGUCGGACUCGAGUACGGAAGAGGCGAGUGGAAUUCCCGGUGUAGCGGUGAAAUGCGCAGAUAUCGGGAGGAACACCAAUUGCGAAGGCAGCUCGCUGGGACGUCACUGACGCUGAGACGCGAAAGCGUGGGGAGCGAACAGG